Molecule: long non-coding RNA, 244 nt
Filed under: Vigna radiata
Lineage: Eukaryota; Viridiplantae; Streptophyta; Magnoliopsida; Fabales; Fabaceae
Description: long non-coding RNA (VRAD_LNC015993)
Source: RNAcentral
UUUCUUGUGCAUGCAGUAGGAGACUAGACAUACUAGGAGCAAUAAAAAUACACAACCUCUUGUUGAAGGCUUAAGUGAGACAAGGGGAAGAAGGAGAGCCAGACGCCCAUCUAGAGAUUUGUUUCCUUCUCCUGACAGAUUACUAUCACCUUCACCAGUUCGAAGAGCAGAAGAGAUGGAUGAACAAACUCCUCCAAGACGCACUCCAAGAUGGCAGACCAAUCUAAUGUUGUUGGCCCUUUCC